GUAGGUGGCAAGCGUUGUCCGGAAUUAUUGGGCGUAAAGCGCGCGCAGGUGGGUUCUUUAAGUCUGAUGUGAAAGCCCCCGGGCUCAACCGGGGAGGGUCAUUGGAAACUGGGGAACUUGAGUGCAGGAGAGGAAAGUGGAAUUCCACGUGUAGCGGUGAAAUGCGAAGAUAUGUGGAGGAACACCAGUGGCGAAGGCGACUUUCUGGCCUGUAACUGACACUGAGGCGCGAAAGCGUGGGGAGCAAACAGGAUUAGAUACCCUGGUAGUCCACGCCGUAAACGAUGAGUGCUAAGUGUUGGGGGGUUUCCGCCCCUCAGUGCUGCAGCUAACGCAUUAAGCACUCCGCCUGGGGAGUACGGUCGCAAGACUG
RNAcentral lists this ribosomal RNA (373 nucleotides) under uncultured organism. RNAcentral's name for it is "partial 16S ribosomal RNA". It matches the Rfam family "Bacterial small subunit ribosomal RNA", at positions 527 to 896 of the family's 1533-position model. The record is from RNAcentral.